CGUGCGUGCGUGCGUGACGUAGUCAAGCUUGUGUGUCUGUCACAGAGCGAAAGAGGCUUGCGUCGUAUUAAAUUCUCCUCUGAAGUUUAUCUGGCUGAUCUUCUAUCUGGACCUGAGAGAUGAAGAAGGCACAAUCGCUCCUUUUCCAAGCGUUGACCGUGCUUGGCAUUUGGGCUUCGCUUGGUGAGUUCACGUUUUUAUUUGACUUCAAGGUUCACUGCAAACGUUGUUGGGACUGGAUUUGUUUCUUCAGAUCAUUAGGGGAUCAAUAUAAAAGGGCAUUUUAUUGGCCCCACCUCGGGGAAAUGUAUACUUGUCAGAUUACUAGACAUAUUAAGCAAACUGUCAGUCUCAUUUGAAACAAUGGAAACAAUACAUAAUACAUCCGCGGUUUUGAGACACUUUCUGAUCCGACUGUGAACUUUUGAAAAAAGGGUGUAGUAAAGCCUAUUUAAAACUAACGACUGACUUUAAGCAUUGAUAUACCACUCAUUUAACUCACUGACCGCCACUGACUGAAAACCUGAAACAUUCACUUCGGUUUGCCUUGGAAGGCUGCAAAUGGAUUGGACGUCUAGCACCGUCAUUGGCACAGAAACGUGAGAAUCCAUAGCCAGUCCUCCCAGUUAAGAAUAAGCGCACUUCUGUUGUUGUCAGUAGUAAGCUAAACGAACCAAAAUUAUACAUUAAUACAAAUGUAUAUAUAUAACUAUUUUAAAACUAUUAAAAUUAUUAUGAAUUAAAAAAAAAUAACACUAAAUAUUACUAUUAAAUUGUAUAAUAAUAAUUUUAAUUUAAUAAUAAUAAAUUUAAUAAAUUCAUAAUAAUUUAUUUUUUAAUUUAAUUUUAUAGUAUUAUAUAAUACUAUAUUAUUAGUAGUAGUAGUAUUACUAAAUAUAAUAACACUAAAUAUAUAAUACUAAGUAUUGACUAAUGGCAGUUAAAUACUCUUGUAGUUUAGUUUUGGUUAGUUUUAGUUUUAUACUAAAGGGUCAUAGUAUUUACCUAUGAUAUAAAUAAAUAUCUACUUUUUUUAAUUCCAUUAUAAUCUUAAUGAUUUUUUAAUCAAUAAAUUAUCAAUAAACCCAAUAGAUUUGUAUUAAUGUAUAAUUGUAUUUUUUCAUAUAUAAAUAAAAUUAACAUUAAAAAAUAAAAAAUAAAUACAUAUAUGUUACAGUUCUACAUGGACUGAGGUUUUCAAUGCAACGCUUCACAUUCCAGGUGUUUUGUUUCACAUUGCGAGAUGGAUAAUUUUGUAUGUGGUGCUUGUGUGUGUGUUUUGUCAUAAUGUAUCAAACGUAGGAAGAGAAUGUCCAAAAGACAUGUGCUUCAACACAACAGAAAACUUAGCUCCAAAACCAUUGUCUGUGAUCUCAAUUGAUCUGGAUCAUGAAUACAUAUAGGUUGAGGUGCUGGAGGGGGAGGGAUAAUUGAACUUUUAAUGACCGAAGGGAAAACAAACAACAACAAAAAACCUGCAGUUGAACACAAUCUUGAUGACUUUUACAAUUGUUGUUACAAUAUGAUUAACACCCCCCACCAACACAAACCUAUAUAAAGACAAACCGAACACUUUAAAAUGCAACUUUUUUUCACCUCGACCUAUAACCUUACUCACCUUGUCUUCACUGAUGCAAAAGCAUCUAUUGCACUUUCAUAUGACAGUUGUUUUGGAAGGGCACUUCUUUCCUGGACUUGGUGGGCUUGGACUUGGUGCUGAUGUGGAUAAGUUCGCUGUAAAAUGACACAUUUCAAAGACAACCCUAUGCUGAGAGCUACAAACUCUUUUGUGAACAAGUGAUCCGUCAAAGGAUUAUCGUUGACAAAGAAGUGCUCAGAAUGGACAAGCCAAGAAGGUUGUUCGUGAACAUCGUGAAGAACCAUGAGGAUCUUGAUGCUUCAGACUACAGGCGGGAUAUGCUGAAAAGAAGAUUGAAGUACUUUAUCAUCAACAGACAAACUUUUAGACAGGAUACCUCAGUCAUCAGGUACAUCAGCUACCGACUCUACUGAGGUAAGACAAGAAAGUGACACUGAACAAAUGGCUAGCACACCAUCUGGUUGGAAAUCCACAGAACAAAGAAGGACACUUUACAGUGCAGGGCUGCUAUUGAGGACCAUUCUAAGCGAAUCACCCUCACUGAAAUGCCCAUGGCCUCCCACAGCAGAAGAUUUAAAUGUAUGUGAAGCGAAAGCUGUUGUGCCUGUUGAACAGUACAAUCGAUUGGUGCAACAGAAGAACCAACACUAGCCGGCAAAAGGGCAAACUACGAGGCAGCAGUAAUGCGACAUUGUCUGACUGGUAUGAUGUGUGCCCCUUCACCAAUUGGCAAUGGAUGGGACAUUGAGGAUGGUGAAUUAACAGUAAAAUGGAUGACUAGAAAUCCUGCCCCAGAUAGUGUGCUACAGGUAAUCCACUGUGGUUGCAAGAUAAGCAAGUGUGAGACUGAAAGAUGUUCAUGCUUGUCUGCAAAAAUGUCCUGUACAGAUUUAUGCCACUGCCAGGACUGUGAAAAUAUUUCAAAGGAAAUGGGAUGAUGACACUGAUGAUACUGAUAUUGAUGAGUAAUCACCCACCAUCUCUCCUAUGUUUAGUUUCAUUAUCAAAAUGUUACUCUCCAUUUUAACACCUUUAAAACAACAACAAAAAAAGGCUCUUUUCCCUUUUCCAAAAAAAUAGACCUUUGUUCAAUUUGACUGCCAAAAAAGAUGGAUGUUCCAAUGAAGUGCUAUUGUUUUAUUGAGAGUGCACAUUUCAUAUAUGUGUGUGUAUAUAUAUAUAUAUAUAUAUAUAUAUAUAUGUGUGUGUGUAUAUAUAUAUAUGUGUGUGUGUAUAUAUAUAUGUGUGUGUGUAUAUAUAUAUAUGUGUGUGUAUAUAUAUAUAUAUAUGUGUGUGUAUAUAUAUAUAUAUGUGUGUGUGUGUAUAUAUAUAUAUGUGUGUGUGUGUAUAUAUAUAUAUGUGUGUAUAUAUAUAUAUAUGUGUGUAUAUAUAUAUAUGUGUGUGUAUAUAUAUAUAUAUAUGUGUAUAUAUAUGUGUAUAUAUAUAUAUAUAUAUAUGUAUAUAUAUAUAUAUGUAUAUAUAUAUAUACACACUGAUACACGGCCCAUGGGAAAACCCAUGGACAGUGUAUCAAAUACUUGUUCUCCCCACUCUAUACAUAUAUAUUCCUAGAUUUUGACAAAAUUGGUGCAGGGAAACGUUGGGUGAACUUUUAACCCAAAGUUCAGAAGGGUAUUAUCUUAUCAAAAAAUGCAUUGAACAAGUAGUGCCCAGACAGUGGAACGAAACCCAUUUUCUAGGCACUUUUUCAGGGUCCACCCCAAGGCCUAAUUCUAUUUAACACAAGACUUAUUUUUCAUCCCAUACAAUUUAUUUAGCAAUUGGGGGAAAUUACUUAGAUACAUACUGUAAAAAUAUUGGAGUAGAGAGAUAAAAACAAUGAUGACAUUUUGCUGCUGUCUGUUGCAUUUUCCGCGUUCUGAAUCUUCCCCAUUGGGCUGAUUUCUAAAUCAGCUGAAAUCGUUACUCUGCCGACGUCAUCACCUAGAUGGAGGCACUAGAGCAGGGUUCUCCAACCCAGUCCUCAAGGCACACUGUGGGUCCUGGUUUUUGUUCCAGCCGAUCCAGCAGAGGCAGUUGAGCCAAUGAGGCUUCUGCUAAAACAAGCCACACCUGACUGCAAUCAAGUGAUUGCACUUGUAAAACACCAGAUUGGGGAAAAAGUGUUGUCAUCUUGUUUGGUAGGAAUGAAAUCCUGCACCCACAGUGUGCCUUUGUGGAAUAGGUUGGGGACCCCUGCACUAGAGUGCUACAAUGAUAGGCGGGGCUAAACGGCAGAUUAAAAGAAACAUUUCUCUUCAUCUGCGCUUUGCCAAAUUGUUGUAUAUAGUCGAAUGAUCUCAAAAUAUGAUUUUAAUUCACAUAAUAAUGCUAUUUAAUUUCAUCGUGUCACAGGCGCUUUAAAAGUCAGUGAUUGCAGGACUGGUUUACUUUCAAAAAGUGCUUGAGCCGAGUUUUGAGGGUUUGUAUUGCGGGACACUCCCUGAUGGCCCUACUAUGACCCUAGUCAUGGGGGCGGGGGCAAAUCAAAUACUUAAAUAGUAUUUUUUUAAAUUAAGAAACAAAGCACAUGAAAAAAAAAUACAUAGUAAUGAAGUAAUAAAAUAGAAAUAAUUCUACAUGAAAUGAAAUUCAUUCUAAAAAAAAAAUCAAAACUUCAAAAUAUAAAUGAAAAAUUAUUGAAAUAAAUCAAGAUUAAAAAAAAAAAUAAUAAUAAUAACAUUAAUUCAAAUAAGUGUCCCAUGUGUGAAUUUUGCUGUGGGAAAGUUAUUCAUUUAAUUUUGUUUUGUUUGAUGAAUCUUGUGACCUCUCAUAUCUUAACUCUAUGGCUGCCUCUUACGGUAUUCAAUCCAUUUCAACUGAUUGUUCGAUCGCUUCCAGCCCCUCCCAGUUAAAAUGGAUUGGACGUCUAUCAAUAUCUUUUACUUAUUACCACAACAAAAAUUGUGACCUGGGCUGGCGGUGGUGAGGUAAACUAAUGAUAACUUUUGGAUAGAUGUCCACUGAUGUGACCACUGUAACCGAAAGGGUUAAACAUCAUCCUCAAAAAUAAAAAGUGCAAAUUACCACACAAAUGUUCCUUUUUGUGCUAUACACAAGUGUGGAUGCAACCCCGUUGGUUACAUAACUCUGUCGGAAUGGCUGACGGUUACCCAUUUGAUUAUUUCACCUUAUAACGCAUACUGUAGCUUGAUCUGAGGCUGAAAUGCAUCCCAACUCUUCUUUCUUGAUUUCUGUCCCAAUUUACAUCCAUUGUCCAGUUCACUGGCGCCUGUGGCACAGCUGUGAUGGUGUGUGAUGUAAUCCUACUUGGUUUAGUUAUUGUUGGGUAAAGAGACAUACUAUACAUUGUAUCCAAAAAAUUGUCCAUUGCUGCCAGUUUGCUUGGAUUUAAUAAAUCAAUAUUAAAAUCUCCACAGAUGAAGAAUGUUUUCUGCUUAAUAGUGGAAAACAAUUGGCUCAUCCAUUCAGUGAAGGAAUCAAUACAUGAACCCGGUGAUCGAUAGAUUCAACUGACAAUUAUAUUUUUCUUUUUUUCAUUGGAGAUCUCUAUUGUCAAACAUUCCAAGUGUUCUUGACAUAUCUAUUCAAUUCAAUUUUAUUUGUAUAGCCCUAAAUCACAACAAGGUUGUCUCAAAGGGCUUUGCAGAGGCAAUAUGAUACAAAAUCAGAAACAGCAAAUGAAGCAAUGAAGAUGAAUACAUACAUUUCAAGUCCUGGGCAUCCCCCAUCCUUAGACCCUCCAUGUCGGCAAGGAAAAACUCCAAAAACUCCAGAGUCUUUGGGAGAAAAUGAGAAACCUUGGGAAGUACCACACUGAGGAGAGAUCCACUCCCGGGACAGAUAGGCAGGGAGCACCAGUACUGCUAAUGGGAAUUAGCAGGCGAAGUUACAGUCCGUAAAGAUACAUUGGAGUAAAGGAACAAGAAGAGGUCCAUCUAGCCAGAUGAGACGGGGGUAGCAACGAGGACAUCCAUCCAGCCAGGGGUCCGGACAGUCAGGAGGCUGCAGCUGAAAAAGGGGUGGGGGGAAAGGGGAGACCGGGUGACGAGUGAUGAAGAGACUAGACAGAUAUUACCAUAUUACUAGAUAUUACCAUUGGAAAAUAGAAAUUAAGUAAGACAAGUGGUACUGUAGGUAGAGUGAGAAAAAGGAGAUAGAACUCAGUGGCUGUACUUCCCCCAGCAUUAUAGCUUCUAGUGCAGCUGUAUCUGUUAAUACCAUACAUUUAAUUGAUUUAUGAAUAUAUAGGGCAACUCCACCACCAGUUUUCUUUUCUCUAUGUAUUUUAAUUCGUAAUCAUCCAUAAGAAAAUCAAUACCUUUAUCAAUAUUAAACCACGUUUCUGUGAUCGCAAUUAUGCUGAAGGGGUGUGUAAAUUGGUGCAGAUAGUCUUUGGUAGAGCUGACAUUUUUGUACAUGCUUCUGCUGUUGAAAUGUAUAAUUGACAGUUUUGCCCAUUGAGUUGAUAUGAUUUUCAUACAGAUCUUGUGUAAAAAUAAUCGCAAUUGGUAACAGUAGAAGAAAAGAAAUGAUUGUCAGGAUCACUUUCUAUAUUAGGGACUCUUUUGUUGGACUCGUUGGAUUUAAAGGCCUCAAGUUCUAUUUGUUUGUUCUGAAGGGUUCGCAGAAGUGGAUCAAUGUCGCUCUUAUUCCUGAGUACAGUUCGUGUGUUUGAUGUAUCGUUCAUAGUCAUUGUAUGCAGAGAUGGUACCUGGUCUUGAUAGGUAUCAGUACUUUUCAAGCUCUUCAAUAUCUCGCACCAUCAGCACUUUUGCUUCCUCAGGCGUUCCGUUCCAUUUAAUGUAUAUUUUACAAUUGACUACCCACGUGUGUUGAAUCUUGCGUUGCUUUUUAAGAUAUCUUGCCUUUUUGGCGAUAUCAGCAUUCUUCCGUGUUAAGUGAUCGUUCAUAUAUACGUCGGUACCCUUCAACUUGCGACCUUGUUUCAGCAGCAUUGUCUUGUUUUUUCGACUGAUAAAUCUCACGAUGAUGGCUGGCGGUCUGUCAUUCCUCAUCGGCAUUGAGUGGCACGCCUCGAUGUGCUCCAAGUCCAACGUUAUUCCCUUGCUCCGAAGGUAAGAUGCCACUUGUUGCUCCACCGAGUUUUCCUCCUGCUGGCUGGGUUCCCCGUCGUCCGUGGCCACCGCACGCGCAUAAGUGCGCGGUCGGAUCUUAUAAAUGACUUUCCAAUAUAUGGAUUUAAAAUUAAGACGUUGCCGGUAAAAUGUUGUCUGUAAAAGUUGUAAAGCAAUAAAACAAACAACAAAAAUGAAUGAAAUGAACAAAAAACAUUUUUUGUAAUGGGUAAAAAAAAUAUUUUUCAAAAAGAUCAUGUGACUAGUGUUGGGUUUUGUGUUGUUUUUUUCCUUAGUGUGACUUGUCUCUGUGAUUACCCAUUGAUUUCACCUGUCGUGCCUGCACAUAGUGAGUCCUCCUGUAUUACCCAGCUGUUCCUCGUUGUCUCGUUACCCCUUGUCUGCAUGUGUGUGUGUAUAAAAGCACCCAGUUUCUUUUCAGUCCUUGUUGCGUCAUUGUCAAUGUAAGUGUCUAUGUCAACGUCAAAGUCCAUGUCAGGUUCUCAUCAGCAGUAUUCACGCCUAUCCAAGCCCUUAAGUUCCAAGUGAGUUUUUGAAAAGCAGUCUUUUGUUAGUGACAGUUUUUGUUUGCCUCAGUGCCUUCUUUGGAUUAUCACAGCCUUUGUUUGUACUUUGUUUUUCGUUGGCUUUAAUUAAAUCAUUUUUGCACCAUUCAUCUGCCUUGCCUACAUUUCCCUGCAUUUGGGUCCACCUUGCCCGCCCGCGCUCCCUGACAACUAGCACCUUAGAGACGGUCAUUUGCUUUGCUAAGCCACCCCCAAAAAACACUGGAGGUCAGAAGAGGCAAGAUGGAUAUACAUCAUUUUUUUCAAACCUAAGCUUUCAAAAGCGACAACAACUACUGAGCGAGAACCAAGAACUGAAGAUGUGGACCAUGAAACACCGGAGAGCAUCGCCAAAAUGGUGAGCGGAAUUUCAGUUGGCUCCACUUCAGACGUUAACCCCCAAAAAUGGAAACAAGGUAAAAAAAAAAAAGUUCAUUUUCAACGUAUUAUUAUAAAUGAUGUUCCUGGCUGAAAUAUUCAGCCAAAACAGAUGCGGCGUCUACUUCUCCACGAGGUAAGACAGAAAAACGCACACACGCAGACGCACACACAGCUGGGAUGCCUGUAUGUACGAGCAUGGGCUAAGCUACUAUCGGAGCAUAUAUCGUGUAAGUUGAUUUUAUUGCUGACACUGCGUUUCGGGGUCAUCAACAUUUUUGGCCCCUCUUGCCAGAAAAGUCAAACUCCACCUUAUGGUUUUACCACGCGAUACUUUUUACUUUGACUUGAGUAGAUUUGUGAUGAAACACAACUCUUACUCCACUACUUUGGGCUACACUAGUCAUUACAUUUUUCGUCUUUAUUGUACAUAUUGACUUUAUUCUCGCAAGAGGUGCCGACAGUGGCCGUCUCAGUUGUACCAAUGAGACGUCGCAACAAUAACCACAUGACUCCAUUAUACGUUAUAAGUAGCGGUAACAAUGUUUGUUCUCCGCUAGAGGGCACUCAUGCUCUGGGUGGUGAUUCAUCGUGUUGUUCUGGUCUGAAUUUGAGGGUUUGUGUGUCAUCUUUUUGGCCGGAUAGGUUAUAGUACAGUAUGAUAAUGACAGUCCAUCUACUAGUAGAUGAAGUUGUGCUUUGAAAAAAAUAUAUAACAUUAUUAUUUUUUUUUUUUUCAU
Corythoichthys intestinalis (scribbled pipefish) is the source of this 8323-nucleotide long non-coding RNA. RefSeq lists it as uncharacterized. The record is from RefSeq and is a predicted model, not a curated record. NCBI's taxonomy places the organism in Eukaryota, Metazoa, Chordata, Actinopteri, Syngnathiformes, Syngnathidae. The transcript is spliced from 5 exons.